RNAcentral lists this ribosomal RNA (511 nucleotides) under uncultured bacterium. RNAcentral describes it as "partial 16S ribosomal RNA". It matches the Rfam family "Bacterial small subunit ribosomal RNA", at positions 28 to 506 of the family's 1533-position model. The record is from RNAcentral.
GAUGAACGCUGGCGGCGUGCCUAAUACAUGCAAGUCGAACGAAACUUCUUUAUCACCGAGUGCUUGCACUCACCGAUAAAGAGUUGAGUGGCGAACGGGUGAGUAACACGUGGGCAACCUGCCCAAAAGAGGGGGAUAACACUUGGAAACAGGUGCUAAUACCGCAUAACCAUAGUUACCGCAUGGUAACUAUGUAAAAGGUGGCUAUACUACCGCUUUUGGAUGGGCCCGCGGCGCAUUAGCUAGUUGGUAGGGUAAAGGCUUACCAAGGCAAUGAUGCGUAGCCGAAGUGAGAGGUUGAUCGGCCACAUUGGGACUGAGACACGGCCCAAACUCCUACGGGAGGCAGCAGUAGGGAAUCUUCCACAAUGGGCGAAAGCCUGAUGGAGCAACGCCGCGUGGGUGAAGAAGGUCUUCGGAUCGUAAAACCCUGUUGUUAGAGAAGAAAGUGCGUGAGAGUAACUGUUCACGUUUCGACGGUAUCUAACCAGAAAGCCACGGCUAACUACGU